UACGUAGGGUGCAAGCGUUGUCCGGAAUUAUUGGGCGUAAAGAGCUCGUAGGCGGUCUGUCGCGUCGGAUGUGAAAACCCAGGGCUCAACCCUGGGCCUGCAUUCGAUACGGGCAGACUAGAGUUCGGUAGGGGAGACUGGAAUUCCUGGUGUAGCGGUGAAAUGCGCAGAUAUCAGGAGGAACACCGGUGGCGAAGGCGGGUCUCUGGGCCGAAACUGACGCUGAGGAGCGAAAGCGUGGGGAGCGAAUGGG
This 253-nucleotide ribosomal RNA is filed under the name uncultured bacterium. RNAcentral describes it as "partial 16S ribosomal RNA". It matches the Rfam family "Bacterial small subunit ribosomal RNA", at positions 524 to 776 of the family's 1533-position model. The record is from RNAcentral.